Long non-coding RNA from Panicum virgatum (switchgrass), 443 nucleotides. RefSeq lists it as uncharacterized. The transcript has 2 exons. The record is from RefSeq and is a predicted model, not a curated record. NCBI's taxonomy places the organism in Eukaryota, Viridiplantae, Streptophyta, Magnoliopsida, Poales, Poaceae.
GUUACGCCCGAGACCGCGCCGUUCCGUCUCGUCGUUUUGUCUCCGCAGGGGGUUCCGCCCACCGCGUGGAAAACGCGCCGCCGCUAGUCUCAUAGGAGCUCCAGCAGCCCCCCACCGCGUGGAAAACGCGCCGCCGCCGGUCUCAUAGGAGCUCCAGCAGCGCGCCCGUGGCCGCGAGACCGUGGCAGAGGGACUCGACAGCACCGCCAGCCUCCAACGCCUCCAGCAGCGCCGCCCUCGUCUUGCGUGAUCACAUCACGUCUUGAUCGCCGCCGCCCUCGUCUUUCAUGGUCGUCGUGAUCGGCAGCGUCUUCGCUUUCCCGAUCGUCCGGCGCCGCCAUGGAUGAUGAAGAUGCAGUCGCCGUUGAUUGUGCCUCCGUUGAGGCAACCGAAUGUAAACACAAUUCAAGCAAGGAUCUUUCCGAAUGUAAACAAAUGCUGGA